Xenopus laevis (African clawed frog) is the source of this 188-nucleotide non-coding RNA. The record is from Rfam. Lineage: Eukaryota; Metazoa; Chordata; Amphibia; Anura; Pipidae.
AUCUCUUGGCUUUUUGGCUAAGAUCAAGUGUAGUAUCUGUUCUUCUGAGUGGCUAGGAUAUCUCUUUUAGGUAGUUGUGGAAAUCCCUAUCCUUUGGUGAGGCAGAGAUGCACUUUAUCAUCUGGCCAAGGGGCUUGCAGUUUUGGAGCUCAAGUAUUUUUUUCACUUCUGGGGCUGGUGCAAUAACC